UCAGCAGCCCGCGGUAAUUCCAGCUCUGUAAGCGUAUACCAAAGUUGUUGCAGUUAAAACGCUCGUAGUCGGAUUUUGGCGUCUGACUUGGGUCGUCCUCGCGGAUGCUCUCAGGUUGGGCGCCUUUGUGGAUGGGAGUCUGGUGGUGCUUAAUUGGAUCGCCAGUCUGCCGCCACCGUUUACUGUGAAAAAAUUAGAGUGUUCAAAGCAGGCGAUUGCCCUGAAUACAUUAGCAUGGAAUAAUAGAAUAGGACCCGGUCCUAUUUUGUUGGUUUGUUUGAAUCGGGUAAUGAUUAAGAGGGACGGUUGGGGGCAUUCGUAUUCCGACGUCAGAGGUGAAAUUCUUGGAUUGUCGGAAGACGAACAGCUGCGAAAGCGUCUGCCAAGGACGUUUUCAUUGAUCAAGAACGAAAGUAAGGGGAUCGAAGACGAUCAGAUACCGUCGUAGUCUUUACUAUAAACGAUGAGGACUGGAGAUCGGAUAAGACUGAUAUAUGGCUUAUCCGGCAUCCUUCGAGAAAUCAAAGUGUUUGCUUUCUGGGGGGAGUAUGGUCGCAAGGCUGAAACUUAAAGGAAUUGACGGAAGGGCAUCACCGGGUGUGGAGCCUGCGGCUUAAUUUGACUCAACACGGGA
RNAcentral lists this ribosomal RNA (634 nucleotides) under Gracilaria edulis. RNAcentral describes it as "SSU rRNA". It matches the Rfam family "Eukaryotic small subunit ribosomal RNA", at positions 567 to 1210 of the family's 1831-position model. Lineage: Eukaryota; Rhodophyta; Florideophyceae; Gracilariales; Gracilariaceae. The record is from RNAcentral.